RNAcentral lists this ribosomal RNA (361 nucleotides) under uncultured soil bacterium. Its description in RNAcentral is "bacterial SSU rRNA". It matches the Rfam family "Bacterial small subunit ribosomal RNA", at positions 26 to 368 of the family's 1533-position model. The record is from RNAcentral.
AGGACGAACGCUGGCGGCGUGCUUAACACAUGCAAGUGGAGCGACGAACCGGGGCUUGCCCCGGGGCAGAGCCGCGAACGGGUGAGUAACACGUGGGUAACCCACCCCGAUGAUUGGGACAACCCGAGGAAACUCGGGCUAAUACCAAAUGUGCCCUUGGUCCACGAGGACCUCGAGUAAAGAUAGCUUCGGCCUUCGCAUCGGGACGGCCCGCGGCCCAUUAGCUUGUUGGUGAGGUAACGGCUCACCAAGGCAACGAUGGGGUAGCCGUGGUCUAGAGGAGGACGAUCACGCCUACACGUGGGACUGACGACGACCGGACCAGACCUCCGGACGGGAGCAGCGAGGUGGGAAUCGUGCG